AUUGAACGCUGGCGGCAUGCCUUACACAUGCAAGUCGAACGGUAACGGGCCUUCGGGUGCCGACGAGUGGGGAACGGGUGAGUAAUGCAUCGGAACGUACCUUUCAGUGGGGGAUAACGUAGCGAAAGUUACGCUAAUACCGCAUAUUCUGUGAGCAGGAAAGCAGGGGAUCGCAAGACCUUGCGCUGAUUGAGCGGCCGAUGUCAGAUUAGCUAGUUGGUGAGGUAAAGGCUCACCAAGGCGACGAUCUGUAGCGGGUCUGAGAGGAUGAUCCGCCACACUGGAACUGAGACACGGUCCAGACUCCUACGGGAGGCAGCAGUGGGGAAUUUUGGACAAUGGGGGCAACCCUGAUCCAGCCAUGCCGCGUGAGUGAAGAAGGCCUUC
RNAcentral lists this ribosomal RNA (387 nucleotides) under uncultured bacterium. RNAcentral describes it as "bacterial SSU rRNA". It matches the Rfam family "Bacterial small subunit ribosomal RNA", at positions 30 to 419 of the family's 1533-position model. The record is from RNAcentral.